This 652-nucleotide ribosomal RNA is filed under the name uncultured bacterium. RNAcentral's name for it is "bacterial SSU rRNA". It matches the Rfam family "Bacterial small subunit ribosomal RNA", at positions 62 to 747 of the family's 1533-position model. The record is from RNAcentral.
UCGAACGAGCUAUUAGGAGACCCUUCGGGGCUGUUCAGUGGCGGACGGGUGAGUAACACGUGAGCACCUGCCUCUCAGAGGGGGAUAACGUUUGGAAACGAACGCUAAUACCGCAUGACGCCGCAUGGUCAAAGGAGCAUCGCUGAGAGAUGGGCUCGCGUCCGAUUAGAUAGUUGGCGGGAUAACAGCCCACCAAGUCGACGAUCGGUAGCCGGACUGAAGGUUGAUCGGCCACAUUGGGACUGAGACACGGCCCAGACUCCUACGGGAGGCAGCAGUGGGGGAUAUUGCACAAUGGGGGAAACCCUGAUGCAGCAACGCCGCGUGAGUGAAGAAGUAUUUCGGUAUGUAAAGCUCUAUCAGCAGGGAAGAAAAGACGGUACCUGACUAAGAAGCCCCGGCUAACUACGUGCCAGCAGCCGCGGUAAUACGUAGGGGGCAAGCGUUAUCCGGAUUUACUGGGUGUAAAGGGAGCGUAGACGGCGAGACAAGUCUGAAGUGAAAGCCCGGGGCUCAACCCCCGGACUGCUUUGGAAACUGCCUUGCUAGAGUGUCGGAGAGGUAAGUGGAAUUCCUAGUGUAGCGGUGAAAUGCGUAGAUAUUAGGAGGAACACCAGUGGCGAAGGCGGCUUACUGGACGAUAACUGACGUU